AGUGCAAAGACCAGAAUAAACCCGAGGAAACCACCAGCCGAGCCGGGGCAGUUUCAGUCUCCACCCCAAAUGCAGGGCUGUAGCAGUGGCCAGGAAGAAAACCGCCCCCUCUGAAAGCUGUUUUUGUGACUGUUCUUUGGAGCAUUGUUCUAAAAAUGGGAAAUUACAUCUUUCUGUGCCAAAGGAAACAAACACCUGCAGUUAAAAGAAUACCUUCCACGAGGUGGCUUCAAGAGCCCCAGCCCGUUUUGGACGCAGGGCUGCUGCAGGAGUUCCACUUGGUGCGUUUCUUCACUUCUAAGGGGAUGGGGUGUGGGCUAACAUUUGUAACCAGGGUGGGCUUUGGCAACUGCGGGGCCCUGGUGGUUGUCUUAUUCAUUGAAUAAACAUCUAUCGAGCAUC
Zalophus californianus (California sea lion) is the source of this 402-nucleotide long non-coding RNA. RefSeq lists it as uncharacterized. The record is from RefSeq and is a predicted model, not a curated record. The transcript has 2 exons. NCBI's taxonomy places the organism in Eukaryota, Metazoa, Chordata, Mammalia, Carnivora, Otariidae.